GAGUCUAGCAUGUGCGCGAGUCAUUGGGAUUAUGAUAAACCUAAAGGCGCAAUGAAAGUGAAGGUCCGCCUUGCGCGGACCGAGGGAGGAUGGGUCCGUCUACGUACGGGCCCCGCACUCCCGGGGCGUCUCGUUCUCAUCGCGAGAUGAGGCGCACCCAGAGCGUACACGCUGGGACCCGAAAGAUGGUGAACUAUGCCUGGUCAGGACGAAGUCAGGGGAAACCCUGAUGGAGGUCCGUAGCGAUUCUGACGUGCAAAUCGAUCGUCGGAACUGGGUAUAGGGGCGAAAGACUAAUCGAAC
Molecule: ribosomal RNA, 303 nt
Filed under: Onthophagus variegatus
Lineage: Eukaryota; Metazoa; Arthropoda; Insecta; Coleoptera; Scarabaeidae
Description: eukaryotic LSU rRNA
Rfam family: Eukaryotic large subunit ribosomal RNA
Source: RNAcentral